RNAcentral lists this transfer RNA (63 nucleotides) under Dianemobius fascipes. RNAcentral's name for it is "tRNA-Gly". The record is from RNAcentral. RNAcentral also lists the same sequence under 1 other name. Lineage: Eukaryota; Metazoa; Arthropoda; Insecta; Orthoptera; Trigonidiidae.
AAUUGAUAAGUAUAUUAGUACAUUUGACUUCCAAUCAAAAAGAUUGAUCUUUCAAAUCAAUUA